RNAcentral lists this ribosomal RNA (441 nucleotides) under uncultured bacterium. Its description in RNAcentral is "partial 16S ribosomal RNA". It matches the Rfam family "Bacterial small subunit ribosomal RNA", at positions 338 to 795 of the family's 1533-position model. The record is from RNAcentral.
CCUACGGGAGGCAGCAGUGGGGGAUAUUGCACAAUGGGGGGAACCCUGAUGCAGCGACGCCGCGUGGGUGAAGGAGUGCUUCGGCAUGUAAAGCCCUAUCGGCAGGGAAGAAGCAAGACGGUACCUGACUAAGAAGCCCCGGCUAACUACGUGCCAGCAGCCGCGGUAAUACGUAGGGGGCGAGCGUUCUCCGGAUUCACUGGGUGUAAAGGGCGCGUAGACGGCCAAGCAAGCUAGGGGUGAAAGCCCGGGGCCCAACCCCGGGACUGCCCUUGGAACUGCAUGGCUGGAGUGCGGGAGGGGCAGGCGGAAUGCCUGGUGUAGCGGUGAAAGGCGUAGAUAUCAGGAGGAACACCAGUGGCGAAGGCGGCCGCCUGGCCUGUUGCUGACGCUGAGGCACGAAAGCGUGGGGAGCAAAUAGGAUUAGAUACUCGGGUAGUC